This 802-nucleotide long non-coding RNA is filed under the name Nicotiana benthamiana. RNAcentral describes it as "long non-coding RNA (NBEN_LNC035053)". Lineage: Eukaryota; Viridiplantae; Streptophyta; Magnoliopsida; Solanales; Solanaceae. The record is from RNAcentral.
CAAUAUUGAGGUUUGGGGAAAUAUAUGAGAGAAUUGAGAGCACAAAGCAGCAGCAGAUGGUGGAGUUGGAGAAGCAGAGGAUGGAAUUCACCAAGGACCUGGAGGUUCAGCGGAUGAAUAUGUUCAUUGAAACUCAGUUACAGAUUGAAAGAGCUAAACGUCCUGCCAGGGAACGUUUCUUCCUCGCCGUGUAAUAGAAAAUUGACUGCCGCGAUUACACUUACCAUUAAGUCAAACUCUAACCCUAACCCUAACUUUGGUGCCGUGAAUUAUUCCGGCGGUUCAUCGAGGUUGAAUUCAAGUGGUUCAAAUGACAGCUCGCACGAUGAUUUGCCGUUUGGGAGUGGAGGGAGGAAAAGUAAAAUGGAGUAUGUAGGCUUAGCGGAGGAAACUACAGCGUACAAGGAAUUGGCGCGGGCAAUAUUGAGGUUUGGGGAAAUAUAUGAGAGAAUUGAGAGCACAAAGCAGCAGCACAUGGUGGAGUUGGAGAAGCAGAGGAUGGAAUUCACCAAGGACCUGGAGGUUCAGCGGAUGAAUAUGUUCAUUGAAACUCAGUUACAGAUUGAAAGAGCUAAACGUCCUGCCAGGCAUCCUACUUCUACAGGUGAAAUUUCAGAUAUUUACUGCACUUUUUUUCAUUUCUCUUAUUGAUUUAGCUGUUCUUUAGUAUGUUGGAAUUUGUGUCUGUCUAGAGUUAAACAGGUUAUUACAAAGUUCAGCAAAUGAAUCUAUUUCUCGGUUUGAAGCUGUAAAUGUCCUGAGAUGAAAAGAAUGCUGAAGAACUAGUACAGCAAUCUGUUUG